UCUCUGGUGGUCCAGUGGCUAAGACUCUGUGCUUCCAAUGCAGGAGAUUCAGUUUCAAACCCUGGUCAGGGAA
This 73-nucleotide transfer RNA is filed under the name Bos taurus (domestic cattle). It matches the Rfam family "tRNA". From Rfam's summary of the family: Transfer RNA (tRNA) molecules are approximately 80 nucleotides in length. The record is from Rfam by way of RNAcentral. RNAcentral also lists the same sequence under 3 other names. Lineage: Eukaryota; Metazoa; Chordata; Mammalia; Artiodactyla; Bovidae.